Molecule: long non-coding RNA, 911 nt
Filed under: Linum usitatissimum (flax)
Lineage: Eukaryota; Viridiplantae; Streptophyta; Magnoliopsida; Malpighiales; Linaceae
Description: long non-coding RNA (LUSI_LNC005655)
Source: RNAcentral
GUGCAUAACCAGACAGUUAUACCUAAGGGUGCGCAACUCGGCGGGGGCAAAAUAGGUCGACUCGGCGGUACCAAUAUAGGUCGUCGUCAUUUAUCACAAACUAUAAGACAGCCAAUCAGAAGGCUAGCACAAGUUCUUAAGAUUUUACUGCAAAUUAAUACAGCUCCAGAUACCAUAAAUCAUUGGGAUAUACAACAUGCAUGUACAUGUACAGAUCAUCACGCAAUGAAUGAAUGAAUCAACCACGGGGCAAGGGAGGCCUUUCGUGUACCAACAAUACGCCCCCGCCUGAUUUUGAUUGCCGCCGGAAUACCUUCAUCGGGCUGGGGAAAUGCCACCCUCUACUCGACUGAUGAUCAGAUCUCCCUGAAUCUAACGCCGUCACCGCCACCGACCUCGAUUUCCGCAUCAUCACCAUCCGCGGCACCUCUUUGAUCUCAUCAUCAUUAAUCUUGAUUACAUCCUCUGAUUGCUUCUUCCUGCUUCCUUUCAAAACGGACCAAAUCGACGGUGUCGGAGACGGAGUCUUCUUCACGGAAUUACCUGAUGGAUGACGGCUCGACGAUCUCAGGAAAGGAAUCGCCAAGGAUCUCGACCGCCGCAACGAAGGCUCCGCGCACUCACGGGCCGCAACGAUGGCUCGGCGCCCUCCGUCGAGGAUGAGGAAGAGGAUGAGCACGAGCAAGGGCGGACGUCGGCACAGUCAGGGCAGAGAGCCGUCAGACGAUCCCUGAGGCAGCGGUGGCAGAUUCCAGUACGGCGUGGCCUCGACGGAUGGGUGGCGCAUUUCCAGACUUGCUCCUCGUCAACGUAGGCGGCAGCCAUCAAUUCUUAUGAAGACUCUGUUUCAGAGUUUCUGGUUUUGGGGUUUGAUUGAAUUGAAUGGAUGAUAUGAUAUAAUGGUGGUGGUG